Capra hircus (goat) is the source of this 1428-nucleotide long non-coding RNA. RefSeq lists it as uncharacterized. NCBI's taxonomy places the organism in Eukaryota, Metazoa, Chordata, Mammalia, Artiodactyla, Bovidae. The record is from RefSeq and is a predicted model, not a curated record. The transcript has 7 exons.
GAGCUGCCCAGGUCAGAGUCUGGUAAUAAAUCUCCUGUUGGAUGUUCAGAAGAGGCUCCAGGAUCUUGAUCUACUGAAUCCUGGCUGCCUUAAUCCUCUAGUGAAUGUUGAAUUCAUCCAGACAUCAGGCACAAGGCAAGCUUUGGAGAAGUGACACUGCUGCAAUUUCAGGCUUAAAUCGACCACAAAUAGCAACUCCAGAGGAGACAUCCUGGUUUACACAGUGGCCCCAUGCAGACUUUGAAAAAGGCUUGGAUGUCAAAAAUUUCAAAGGCAAAACAUUCUCCAGGAAGAUAUGUCAACUUUGUCCUAUGCUGUGCUGAAUCCUAAUUUGAGAAGCACAGCACUGAAAUAAACAGAGUAAGGAGACACAGAAUUUGGAGCCUGACAUUCCACACAGUGACUGUAUGAUCUUGGAUAAGAGCUCACCUUCCCCAGGUAUAAAAUAAAGGAAACUUCUAUAAAAGAAGGUGAUUCAUCAAGUGAACUACAUUGAUUACCUUCCCUGUUGGCCAGUGAGAUUUACGUUUGCUGCUUUUUUUCCUUCUCCAGCUUUCAGAAUGCAGAAACACUAGAGACAAAUUUGGUCUGCCUAACAAAAUCCAGACAAAGAGGGGUGCAGAUGAGAAUCCCCCACCAUGGGGGCUGCAGCAGUGGCAGAGUGUUGUUUGGAAACAGACCAAGAGGGGAAGAUGGAGGUGACAAUGAGAGAUGCUAAAGACUGCGAGGUGGGUUCCCCAUCAUGUUCUUUGAGAAAUGUGAGUAAAGAGCAGAAUUUAUUUGCAGUUUCCUUUGUCAGAUGCGAUUCCACUCUAGAAAUAAACUAGAGUACAUUCAAGCCCUAUAAAGAUCACUCAGUCAUUCAAACAAUAAUAAUCCAUUGCUUGAGAUCAAUGGCUCUCGUUCUUCCUAAGUCCAGUUUGGGUGGUCCUGGGAUCCAAUGGGAAAGUGAGAGUCUCUUUUUUUUUUUCCUUUCUGCUAGUGACCUUGCUUCUAUUUCACUAAGAUAAAGACAGCAGAAGAAAAGUUCCAUGUCUCCAUCACCCAAUCACCUUGCGUCUAUACUGUUUUCUCUCCUUCCACCAGGUCGAGCUCUCCACACACCCAGGUUAAACCCUGUAAUUACAUCCUAGCUCUUCUCUCCCCAGAGCUCUCUCUCCUCUCCUGUUCUAUCCCCUUUCUCUCCUGCAUCAUCCUCAUUUAACACAAACUUGUUGUAUUAUCUCUGUGAAUCCCAAAUACCCCUCCAGCUACUGCUUAACUUCUUUCCCUUUGAUGUUACCACCUGAAAUAUUUGAUCAUGUUUGCUGUUUCCAGCAUGGAGACAAAUCCAGUGGCUCAGUGUCAGUCUCCUUAGCCAGUCUGGGCAGUAACUGACACUGUCCAUCACUUCUUUCAUUUUGAAAUGUUCAAGAUUGAGCUUCAGGG